AAUAGAUACCCCGGUAGUCCACGCCGUAAACGGUGGGCACUAGGUGUGGGCGACAUUCCACGUCGUCCGUGCCGCAGCUAACGCAUUAAGUGCCCCGCCUGGGGAGUACGGCCGCAAAGGCUAAAAACUCAAAGGAAUUGACGGGGGCCCGCACAAGCGGCGGAGCAUGUGGCUUAAUUCGACGCAACGCGAAGAACCUUACCAAGGCUUGACAUACACCGGAAACGUCCAGAGAUGGGCGCCCCCUUGUGGUCGGUGUACAGGUGGUGCAUGGCUGUCGUCAGCUCGUGUCGUGAGAUGUUGGGUUAAGUCCCGCAACGAGCGCAACCCUUGUCCCGUGUUGCCAGCAGGCCCUUGUGGUGCUGGGGACUCACGGGAGACCGCCGGGGUCAACUCGGAGGAAGGUGGGGACGACGUCAAGUCAUCAUGCCCCUUAUGUCCUUGGGCUGCACGCAUGCUACAAUGGUCGGUACAAAGGGCUGCAAUACCGCAAGGUGGAGCGAAUCCCAAAAAGCCGGCCUCGAGUUCGGAUUGGGGUCUGCAACUCGACCCC
This 553-nucleotide ribosomal RNA is filed under the name uncultured bacterium. RNAcentral describes it as "bacterial SSU rRNA". It matches the Rfam family "Bacterial small subunit ribosomal RNA", at positions 777 to 1319 of the family's 1533-position model. The record is from RNAcentral.